AAAAAAAAAAAAAAGAGACAGAUUUGAUGACCCCUUUUGGUGUAUAUUCAAGUAGAAAAUCAAUCAGUAUAAACUGCAACCUGAUAUUGAUUUUAUCAAGUUUCUUUCCACAAUGAAAUCUUCAUUCAUUCAUGUUGUGUUCUGAUGAACUUUGCUGAGGUUCCUCAGAGCCACCCCAAGUUCUGAUGCGCUCUUCAGCUUUCAAAGCUUCUUUGUUCCAGUUAGUACGCAGAAAGACGAAAGUCAGAAUGAUUAUUUGAAGAACACAACCAGCCAACAUUCCUGACCAUAUGCCCUUAACACCUAGAUUUAUUUUAUAGCCAAGAACAGCACCAAUAGGAAGUCCUAUGAUGUAGUAACAUCCAGUAUUGAUGAAGGCAACUAACAACUGCCACCCGGCACCCACUGCCACCCCAUGGAGCACAGGUUGGAUGCUAUUGAGGAAGAUUGUUGCUGCCAAAAAGUAACCAAGCUUUGAUGCCUCCUUCAUGACUGCUG
This 498-nucleotide unclassified non-coding RNA is filed under the name Hevea brasiliensis (rubber tree). The record is from RNAcentral. Lineage: Eukaryota; Viridiplantae; Streptophyta; Magnoliopsida; Malpighiales; Euphorbiaceae.